Long non-coding RNA from Gadus macrocephalus (Pacific cod), 1912 nucleotides. RefSeq lists it as uncharacterized. The record is from RefSeq and is a predicted model, not a curated record. The transcript has 2 exons. NCBI's taxonomy places the organism in Eukaryota, Metazoa, Chordata, Actinopteri, Gadiformes, Gadidae.
CUCACCUUUCGGCGAAAUUCGCCGUUUUGAAACCAAAAUAGGUGACCUCCGUGAAUCGUGUAGAUUUGAUGAAAAAAUAUUAAUGGGGUGGGGUGGGGGGGGGGGGGGGGGGUAGGUUCAGAGGCCGGCCAGUUUAUAGUCCUCCGUAAAGUGCUGUACUUAUGCUGCGUUCGAGUAUUCUCUGCGAACCGACUCGGAUCUCGGAUCUGACGCCACGCCCACACUUCAAGCGUUUUAUUAUUUCGCUCGGUCGUUGGAGGAAAACAUGGACGCCACCCGGAAAGCUGUUGUCGCGGUAGCAUUGGCAGAGGACCAGGCGCUCCAAAAUAAGUAGGCUAUAGGCCAUAGUCAAGCAGAGAUACGGACGCAGUAAGGUAUUGCAGUAAUACGAGUGAUUGAAAUUACCAUUUUAACUAGGGCUGCAACAACGAAUCGAUAAAAUCGAUAAAAAUCGAUUACUAAAUGUCGUGUCGCGCGAUUAAUAAGUUACUCAUAGGCGCAGCACUGUUUACAGCCAGCCGCCGACAGGUUGGUUCACGGUUCAUGCACGCCCACAGCGAGCUUCAGUGUGAGCGACCACAGCUUGUAUUUGUCAUAUCUUAAAACUGGACUGUAGGCCUACAUAAAAGUGUUGUACCUUCACUGUCUUUAGGUAAAAAAAAACUCCUUCAACUCAGUGUCCGUCUAGUAGUCCAACCGAAAAUUCUGUCAGCUGCUGCUGCUGCAGACGUUGUGCAGACAGGCUCGGAGUCGGCACCGCGUGCAUCAACAGUCAUUCAAAGCAGCGGUAGUAAUCACACAACCGGACGGUGUAGAAAGUCCCGUCAGUUAAAAAUAGUAAUGCAGUUUUUAAAUCCAUGUUAAAAUCGGCAGGAUAUAGAGAUGGUUAGCUUAAAAAAAACAACUAACCAAUGGUCACAAACAGUGUCAAAUGUGAUGUGUUCAGGUCGGCUCAGAAAUACGAUUGAUGCGUUCAAAUGCAGCAGUAAAAAAAUAAAUAAAAUUGAGAUUUUGGUGAAGACUUGUUUUCCCAGUAAUAUAAAAUAGAUAGUAAAGAUAGAAUUAAUUAUGACCUGUUUAAUGUCCUAUCUUGAACUAUCAUCAUCUUAUCAGCAAUUAAAGCAAUAUUACAAGUUCUAUUUCAAGGAGUCUCGAAAAUGGUAUCAAUAGGUUUGACCGGUUAACCAUGGACAUCCCUUGUAUACAUAUAAAAGUAUAUCAAAUCAUACAUUGUAUGUUUCUUUUUUGUGUUAUCCCAGUUAUGUUUUUUUAAUCUUUUUAUUAUUUAGUAUUACUUUUAAUAGUUCCGGGACGUUGGAGCAAUAACCUGGUGUUUUUACAUUUCAGUCUGCACUGUGAAUUUGAAGUAAUGUUCAGUUUUUGAAUAAAGAUGCGGCAAUUCCAAUUUUAUUUUUAUUUUUUUCUAUCCGAUUCAUCGAUUAAUCGAAAAAAUAAUCGACAGAUUAAUCGAUUAUUAAAAUAAUCGUUAGUUGCAGCCCUAAUUUUAACCACCAAAGUGGUCCAAGCACAAUGAAAACAGUUCAUACUUCAAGUCACAAUGAAUCUUGAAUUCUGUCUCGGAAUUUUGCUCGGUCACCACUGAGUUCAACCGAGAUGGCGAGUUCGCCGUCCGAGGAAAAGGGGCGUGUCGCUUGGCAACGUCCUCGGACCUCCGAGACGGAUGGAUAUUAAAACGCAGCAAUAGACAUGGAGAGCCUGUCGGAGAACCUCUCCGUAGUUUACGUGCGCAUCCAAUAUUUUUUAACUAUCAGUCGUCGCAACAGAGACGGUAAGGGCUGUGAUUGGUCCUCUAACAAAAUCCUUUCCGGAAACGCUACUCGGUUUGACUUUGGACCUUAUUUACUUUGUACGUUGUUUACUUUGCAAAGGACCAAUAAAAUACCAAAUAGGA